GAUGAACGCUGGCGGCGUGCCUAAUACAUGCAAGUCGAGCGAACAGACGAGGAGCUUGCUCCUCUGACGUUAGCGGCGGACGGGUGAGUAACACGUGGAUAACCUACCUAUAAGACUGGGAUAACUUCGGGAAACCGGAGCUAAUACCGGAUAAUAUAUUGAACCGCAUGGUUCAAUAGUGAAAGACGGUUUUGCUGUCACUUAUAGAUGGAUCCGCGCCGCAUUAGCUAGUUGGUAAGGUAACGGCUUACCAAGGCAACGAUGCGUAGCCGACCUGAGAGGGUGAUCGGCCACACUGGAACUGAGACACGGUCCAGACUCCUACGGGAGGCAGCAGUAGGGAGUCUUCCGCAAUGGGCGAAAGCCUGACGGAGCAACGCCGCGUGAGUGAUGAAGGUCUUCGGAUCGUAAAACUCUGUUAUUAGGGAAGAACAAAUGUGUAAGUAACUAUGCACGUCUUAACGGUACCUAAUCAGAAAGCCACGGCUAACUACGUG
This 497-nucleotide ribosomal RNA is filed under the name uncultured bacterium. RNAcentral describes it as "partial 16S ribosomal RNA". It matches the Rfam family "Bacterial small subunit ribosomal RNA", at positions 28 to 507 of the family's 1533-position model. The record is from RNAcentral.